UACAGAGGGUGCGAGCGGUAAUCGGAAUUGCUGGGCGUAAAGGGGGCGUAGGUGGUUCGUUAAGUCAGAUGUGAAAGCCCGGGGCUCAACCUCGGAAUUGCAUUUGAUACUGGCGAGCUAGAGUGUGGUAGAGGGUAGUGGAACUCCCGGUGUAGCGGUGAAAUGCGUAGAUAUCGGGAAGAACACCAGUGGCGAAGGCGGCUACCUGGACCAACACUGACACUGAGGCACGAAAGCGUGGGGAGCAACCAGG
Molecule: unclassified non-coding RNA, 253 nt
Filed under: uncultured Gammaproteobacteria bacterium
Lineage: Bacteria; Pseudomonadati; Pseudomonadota; Gammaproteobacteria
Description: contains 16S-23S intergenic spacer region
Rfam family: Bacterial small subunit ribosomal RNA
Source: RNAcentral